This 265-nucleotide long non-coding RNA is filed under the name Lathyrus oleraceus (garden pea). RNAcentral's name for it is "Pisum sativum (pea) long non-coding RNA (PSAT_LNC026197)". Lineage: Eukaryota; Viridiplantae; Streptophyta; Magnoliopsida; Fabales; Fabaceae. The record is from RNAcentral.
UUGUUUUGGAGUGGACGGCAGCGUGGAGAAUCGAUGGUGAGGCGGAGGUGGUUGACGAACGGAGAGUGGUUUUUUUUAGAGAGAAAUUUGGAGAAAGAGAAAGAGAGGCGUGGAAAUGUUUUCUCAAUGUGAGUGUGUAGUGAGUGAAGAGAGAAGAGAGUGGGUGAGGCCACCUUUUUAUUUAUUUCUUUUUUUUAUUUUCUUUUGUUGCCACGCGUUAGAACCAGAAUGAGAGAGUAGUAGGUGGCUGAUAUUUUUGAGUGGG